UUUCCGGUUGAUCCUGCCAGAGGCUACUGUCAUCAGAGUUCGAUUAAGCCAUGCUAGUUAAGGGGACCUUCCUUCGGGAAGGUAACCCGGCAGACGGCUCAGUAACACGUGGACAAUUUACCCUUGGGACCAGGAUAACCCCUGGGAAACUGGGGCUAAUACUGGAUAGAGCAUCGGCUGCUGGAAUGCGCGAUGUUCGAAAGUUGAGGCGCCCAAGGAUAGGUCUGCGACUGAUUAGGUUGUUGUUGACGUAACGGAUCAACAAGCCCGCGAUCGGUACGGGUUGUGAGAGCAAUAGCCCGGAGAUGGGUUCUGAGAAAAGAACCCAGGUCCUACGGGACGCAUCAGGCGCGAAAACUUUACAAUGUGCGAAAGCGCGAUAAGGGAACUCUGAGUGCCUCCUAAGGAGGCUGUUCAGGUGUCUAAAAAGCAUCUGGAGUAAGGGCUGGGCAAGACCGGUGCCAGCCGCCGCGGUAACACCGGCAGCUCAAGUGGUAGCCAUGUUUAUUGGGUCUAAAGCGUCCGUAGCCGGCUGAGUAAGUUCCUUGGGAAAUUUGACCGCUUAACGGUUAAGCUAUCAGGGAAUACUGCUUGGCUUGGGACCGGGAGUGGUCAGAGGUACUCCAGGGGUAGGGGUGAAAUCUAUUAAUCCUGGGGGGACCACCGGUAGCGAAGGCGUCUGACCAGACCGGGUCCGACGGUGAGGGACGAAGGCUGGGGUCACGAACCGGAUUAGAUACCCGGGUAGUCCCAGCUGUAAACGAUGCGGACCAGGUGUUGGCAUUACUGCGAGUGAUGUCAGUGCCAAAGGGAAGCCGUUAAGCCCGCCAUCUGGGGAGUACGGUCGCAAGGCUGAAACUUAAAGAAAUUGGCGGGGGAGCACC
This 884-nucleotide ribosomal RNA is filed under the name uncultured ANME-1 euryarchaeote. RNAcentral's name for it is "bacterial SSU rRNA". It matches the Rfam family "Archaeal small subunit ribosomal RNA", at positions 1 to 880 of the family's 1478-position model. The record is from RNAcentral. Lineage: Archaea; Methanobacteriati; Methanobacteriota; Methanomicrobia; Candidatus Methanophagales.